Molecule: long non-coding RNA, 1105 nt
Filed under: Homo sapiens (human)
Lineage: Eukaryota; Metazoa; Chordata; Mammalia; Primates; Hominidae
Description: HSALNT0167450
Source: RNAcentral
CAGGGCGGCGCGGCCUCGGGUGGCGCGGCGGGGCCGUAGAAGCGGUGGUAUUCCCGUGGGGCCGCCCACUCGCCCGCAUGCAGGCUCCCGGGCCGGCUGCGGAAGCUGUGGGCCUGGACUGGGGGUAGCAGCAGAGGGGCGGCCAGGAGUUCAGUGGCAUGACCAGGGCUCACUGCAACCUUGAUCUGGGCUCAAGUGAUCCUCCUACCUCAGCUUCCUGAGUAGCUAGGACCACAGGUGUGCACCAACCACACCCGACUAAUUUUUGUAGAGAUGAGAUCCCACUAUGUUACCCAGGCUGGUCUUGAACUCCUGGGCUCAGGUGAUCAUCCUGCCUUGGCUUCCCAAAGUACUGGGAUUAUAGGCUUGAGCCACCGUGCCUGGCCUGUGAUCAGAAUUCUCAUUUUUUUAGUCACUAAAAAUGCUGGGGGGCACUCCAUUCUCCAUUAUGUGAUUAGUUCACAUUGCAUGCUUGUAUCAAAACAUCAUAUAUACCCCACAAAUAUAUACAAAAAACUUUAAAAUUUUAAGUAUUAAUUGCUCAGGAAAAAAUUAAAAUGCUGGGGUGCUGAAAUCUCAAGGGCCCCAUUACAAAACUCCUUAGGAACCUCGCCCUCUCUCUGCUGUAAGGACUGGUUCCAGAAUGAGAGAAUUUAAAAGACAUUCCCCCCCCAAAAUGUUCAUAAUGUCACCCCGGAAACCUGCGAAUAUGUUAUAUUACAUGACCAGGGAGAAGUAAGGUUGCAGAUGGCAGUAAGGUUGCUAAUGGGCUGACCUUAAGAUAAGGAGAUGAUCCUGGAUUAUCUGGGUGGACCCAAUGUAAUCACAAGGGUCCUUAACUGUGGAAUAGUGAGGUGGCUGAGUCAGAGGCAGAGUGAUGCAAUGACUGAAAGACUUAACCAGCCAUCACCGGCUUUGAAUACGGAAGACGGUCAUGAGCCAGGGAAUGCAGGCAGGCUCUGGGAGCUGAAAAAAGCAAGAAAAUGGAUUCUCCCCUGGAGCCUCCAGAAGGGAUGCGGUCCUGCCAACCCCUUGUCAGUGAGCCAUUUCAGAUUUCUGACUUCCAGGACUGUAAGAAAAUAAACUUGUCUUGUUUUCAGCCACC